AUUGAACGCUGGCGGCAGGCCUAACACAUGCAAGUCGAACGGUAACAGGAAGACGCUUGCUUCUUUGCUGACGAGUGGCGGACGGGUGAGUAAUGUCUGGGAAACUGCCUGAUGGAGGGGGAUAACUACUGGAAACGGUAGCUAAUACCGCAUAACGUCGCAAGACCAAAGAGGGGGACCUUCGGGCCUCUUGCCAUCGGAUGUGCCCAGAUGGGAUUAGCUAGUAGGUGGGGUAACGGCUCACCUAGGCGACGAUCCCUAGCUGGUCUGAGAGGAUGACCAGCCACACUGGAACUGAGACGCGGUCCAGACUCCUACGGGAGGCGGCAGUGGGGAAGAUUGCACAAUGGGCGCAAGCCUGAUGCAGCCAUGCCGCGUGUAUGAAGAAGGCCUUCGGGUUGUAAAGAACUUUCAGAGGGGAGGAAGGGAGUAAAGUUAAUACAUUUGCUCAUUGACGUUACCCGAAGAAGAAGCACCGGCUAACUCCGUG
RNAcentral lists this ribosomal RNA (490 nucleotides) under uncultured bacterium. RNAcentral describes it as "partial 16S ribosomal RNA". It matches the Rfam family "Bacterial small subunit ribosomal RNA", at positions 30 to 507 of the family's 1533-position model. The record is from RNAcentral.